UAGUAACUGCGAGUGAAGCGGGAAAAGCUCAAAUUUAAAAUCUGGUGGUCUUUUGGCCAUCCGAGUUGUAAUUUAGAGAAGCGUCUUCCGCGCUGGACCGUACACAAGUCUCCUGGAACGGAGCGUCAUAGAGGGUGAGAAUCCCGUCUUUGGUACGGACCCCCAGGGCUUCUGUGAUGCGCUCUCGAAGAGUCGAGUUGUUUGGGAAUGCAGCUCAAAAUGGGUGGUGAACUCCAUCUAAAGCUAAAUAUUGGCGAGAGACCGAUAGCGAACAAGUACCGUGAGGGAAAGAUGAAAAGCACUUUGGAAAGAGAGUGAAACAGUACGUGAAAUUGUUGAAAGGGAAACGCUUAAAGUCAGUCGCGUCGACCGAGACUCAGCCUCGCUCCGGCUUGGUGUAUUUCUCGGCCCGACGGGUCAGCGUCAAUUUGGUCCCUCGGAUAAUGGCAAGGGAAAGGUGGCACCUUUGCGGGUGUGUUAUAGUCUUUUGUCGCAUGCGAGGGGUGAGAUUGAGGAACUCAGCACGCGCGCCCUUCUGGGUGUGUCGGGGCCUCGGCCCACGCCACGUGCUUAGGAUGCUGGCGUAAUGGCUUUAAACGACCCGUCUUGAAACACGGACCAAGGAGUCUAACAUGCCCGCGAGUGUUCGGGUGGAAAACCCGUGCGCGUAAUGAAAGUGAAAGUUGGGACCUUCGUCGUGAAGGGCACCGACGCCCGGACCAGACCUUCUGUGACGGAUCUGCGGUGGAGCGUGCAUGUUGGGACCCGAAAGAUGGUGAACUAUGCCUGAAUAGGGUGAAGCCAGAGGAAACUCUGGUGGAGGCUCGUAGCGAUUCUGACGUGCAAAUCGAUCGUCAAAUUUGGGUA
RNAcentral lists this ribosomal RNA (867 nucleotides) under Russula sp. RNAcentral describes it as "partial large subunit ribosomal RNA". It matches the Rfam family "Eukaryotic large subunit ribosomal RNA", at positions 81 to 917 of the family's 3401-position model. Lineage: Eukaryota; Fungi; Basidiomycota; Agaricomycetes; Russulales; Russulaceae. The record is from RNAcentral.